GCGUCGCGCGGCGUCGGCGCUUCCACCGCGGAGGUCGCCCCCGAGUGGCCGAGAACACGAGGCUAGAGUUGACGACGAGGCGAACGGUGUCGGAAGUCGUGCAUGCGGGCUCAACGACCUGGUUGAGGACGAUGCCCACGCGGCCGCCGGUGGCGGCCGCGCAUCACGAUGAUGAGACGGGCGGUGCCUAUAGUCGUGCGUGGAUGCUCAACGACGAC
Molecule: long non-coding RNA, 218 nt
Filed under: Hordeum vulgare
Lineage: Eukaryota; Viridiplantae; Streptophyta; Magnoliopsida; Poales; Poaceae
Description: long non-coding RNA (HVUL_LNC007075)
Source: RNAcentral